UAAUUUUAAAUCACACUUUUAAUAAAUAAAAUUCUUUUAUGGAACAAAGGAUUUUUUUUUUUCGUAAGAAACAGAUAGGUAAAAUAAACUAGAAAAAUAUUCACGAGGGGGUAUUUGUAGCUACUGCCAUAGCUUCUGGCAUAGAUAUGCACACAUUUCAAAGGCAACUCGUAUGGAGUUAUUCACUGAAGUGAGAAUUCAAGGUGAAUUCAAUGUGACUUUUCUAUUGAGAUAGCAAGUGGUUCCCCCCUUAGAGGACCACAUGUCAUGUUCAGAGGACCUGUGUUGUGGGCAUAACCCAAGACAUUUAAUACCAAGAAGAAAAUUAACAACAGUUUCCAGAGACUCCUCUAUAAUGAGUCAAUGGAACAAGAUAAGUCCUCAAAUAAAUAAAUUAACAAUAAAGAAUUUAAGCAAAAACAUCCCCCAAACCUUUAUUGAUUACUUAAACCUAAAGUUGGAAGCAAAUUACAAUAAAAAAAUAAUGACAUCACCCUCUAAAAAUAUGCAUUGUUCUGUUUCAUGCAGCAAUACUCCUUCGUUCGAUAUUAAAGUUCCAAAUUGUAUUGUUUCAUGUUCUCGAGACUAUUUUUAGAAGGUAAUGUAAUUAUUGCUUUGUUGUAAUUUGUUUCAAACGUUAGGUUUUAAGUAAUCUAUAAAGUUUUAUAUUUUAUUUUUUGUGAUUUACGAAUUUUAUGUUGAAUAUCAAAACCUGGAGAUAUGAUCUGUGUCAGCGAUACUUUCAGUUUGGUUGUGUGGCAUUAAAUUUAAAAUCCACUUUAAAUUCGCUUUGAAUUCUCACUAUAGUGAAUAACCUUGAAACAUCACUGUGAAGCCAAAAAAAGACAAACCGGUAAUUAAUUAAACAAACUUGUAAAAGACUCUUCAUUAAACAGCAUGAUAUAUCUAUAUAUAUAUAUUUAUUUUUAAUUCAGACUUAAAAAAGCAGAAUUAGAAAAUAUAUAAACUUGUCCAUCCACUUUGAAGGUUGGGUUUGAAGUUACUUGGUAAAUGGACCCAGAAUUUUUUAGUUUAAUAGAAGUAUGCCGGUAUAAUAAAAUAUUUUAUAAAUCUAGAAAUUAAGUUUUGUGUAGAGCAUAACUGCCACAUCACAUAAAUAAUUCAAGAUAAAAUAGAUAAAAUAUAAGCCGAAUACUGCGGAGUAUUUCAUUUAAUACAGAACUGAUAUAUGAAUUUGUUCAUAGAUGACACUAAAGUAUCAUAUGGAAUCCCAAAUAGAAUAGACAAAUCGGUUGUAUGUUUCUAUAACGUGAAUUGCACUGUGUAUAGCUCAUAGUCUAAAGGCCUAUAUAGAUAAGGAGGAUGAAGUUCUUUGUAGAACAUAAAAUAAAGACAUUACGUUAUAAUAUAAAUAUCACAUUCGAGUUUUCUAUGAAUACAUAUCAGUUUUCAUUUUAUGACAUACUCGCUGUCAGCAGACGUGAAGACAACAUGAAGAGCAGUGCCAUACAGUAGAAUCAGAUUAAACAUAUCACGCAAUAAAUAAACUACUUUACAUUCUCUCCAAAUAAUAAUAAUUGAGAAAUAUAAACUAUAGGGAUAAAUCUACCGUUUAUGUAAGCAGGGUGUCCUGCUUUGAGGAAAGACAUUUCUUUUCAUAAUAAGCUAGAAGGAACAGGGUAAAACACAGAAUGCUAAAAUAAUUAGGUGCUGACCCCAAAACAUAGCCCUGCUCACAACAUUUCUAUAUGGCAAACGCUUCAGACAGAUCCAUAUUCACUGACUUGAAUAUAUAUAUUAAAAAAAAAAACGCGCACACACACAAACACACACACACACACACUCUCUCUCUCUCUCUCUCUCUGUAGUGCCCUUACCAAACAUGCAUUUAUUGGAAUUCUGAUACAUUACUAAACUAAUACAUUGUUUCUACUUUUUAUAAUUUUGUUCUUGUAAGGCAAACAGGAAUGAAUUUUUGUCAGGAAUAGACAGUGGUCAGCAGCAGACACAAGGCACUUGUAUUAAAUGGGACACUCUAGGCACCAUAAUCACUUCAUCUAACCAAAGUGGUUUUAGUACUUGGAGUCCCCUGGCACCUUCCCACAGUUCCCACAGUUCAGCUUGAAACCAUUUUGUUUGUGGUUUAACUUAGAAUAGGUUUCCCAGGCUGCCUGAAGCCCGUGUCUCUCUGCUGCUCGGGGCUAAUUGUUCUUGGCAGAAGCAGAGAUGGACGGUGGUUAUAGGUUUGAGAAAGUCAGCUGAGCGCUCUCACUCUGUCACAGCUGCCCAUUGCUGCUAAGAAUUGGUAUGGCUAAUCGAAAUGUAACCCCUGCAUUAGCCAAGAAAAUGGAUUAACACUGAAACAGGGAGAUGAGUACUGUGGGACUCCAGGCACUAUAACCACCUCAAUGAGUUGAAGUGGUUAUGGUGCUUAGAGUUUCCCUUUAAUAAAAUACCUGAGCAGUCAAACUAUGCAUACAAUCAGAGGUACAUUAACUCAGCUCUCUGGACACAGACAAUAUGGAACUUUAUAAAUGUUAUCAAUAAUAUAACUCACAAAGGAUCAUAGCAGUUUUAGUUGCCAUGGCAGAUCAUUACAUACGUGUUGGAUGCUUUGUGAAUAAAUACACGUUAAUUCUACAAAACCAGCCGUAUUGAUUCCUUUUAAAACUAUCUGAAUCCUAAGCAAUGCUAGGCAUCACCUUUCUUGUAUCUCCAAACAGCUUUCAGGCCUCAUAUGUGUCUAGGAAAAUCUGGCUGAGGCUGCGGAUCUAAUACACGCGUUACGUCUGAAAAUGACUAAAUGGGAUUAUUAGUUUGCCCGCAUCAAAGGCUGUUUAAAGAAAAAAAGCUAACAUUUCAAAGUACACAAAUGCAUAUUGUACCAAGUGCCUAGAUAUAAAAUGAUUGUCUAGCAAGUGCCAGUUCUGAAAAUAUGGCACUGAAAUCAAGUAUGGCAAUAAAAAGUAGAAUGUUACAUUAAACUCGCUGCUUGUACAGGGCUUAGAUGUAUUAAAACAAAUACAGCCAUACACACACAUAUACACACACACACAUAUUAGCAUACACACUUAUUAGCAUACCGUAUAUAUACUGAUCAGCCACAACAUUCAAACCACCUGCCUUAUAUAGUGUAGGUCCCCUUGUGAUGCCAAAACAGCUCUCAUGCAUCGAGGCAUGGACACCGCAUGACCUCAAUGUCAUGUGUUAUCUGGCAUCAAGGCAUUAGCAGCAGAUCCUUUAAGUCCUACAAGUUGCAAAGGUAGGGCCUCCAUGGAUCAAAUUGUUGUUCUACCAUAUCCCACAGAUGCUCAGUCAGAUUGAGUUCUGGGAAAUUUGGAGGUCAAGGAAACACUUUGAACGUUUCAUGUUCCUCAAACCUUUACUGAACAAUUUUUACAGUGUGGCAGGUUGCAUUGCAUUAUCCUGCUGAAUGAGGCGACUGCCAUCAGGGAACACUAUUGCCAUGAAGGGGUUAAGUGGACUGCAAUAAUCUCUAGGUAGGUGGUAUGUGUCAAGGUUACAUCAACAAGAGGACAUAGUCUUAAAUUAGAGGGACAAAGGUUUUAAAAUAAUAUCAGGAAGUAUUACUUUACUGAGAGGGUAGUGGAUGCAUGGAAUAGCC
RNAcentral lists this long non-coding RNA (3586 nucleotides) under Pelobates cultripes (western spadefoot toad). Lineage: Eukaryota; Metazoa; Chordata; Amphibia; Anura; Pelobatidae. The record is from RNAcentral.